GAGUUUGAUCGUGGCUCAGAUUGAACGCUGGCGGCAUGCCUUACACAUGCAAGUCGAACGGCAGCAUGAUCUAGCUUGCUAGAUUGAUGGCGAGUGGCGAACGGGUGAGUAAUACAUCGGAACGUGCCCUGUAGUGGGGGAUAACUAGUCGAAAGAUUAGCUAAUACCGCAUACGACCUGAGGGUGAAAGUGGGGGACCGCAAGGCCUCAUGCUAUAGGAGCGGCCGAUGUCUGAUUAGCUAGUUGGUGGGGUAAAGGCCCACCAAGGCGACGAUCAGUAGCUGGUCUGAGAGGACGAUCAGCCACACUGGGACUGAGACACAGCCCAGACUCCUACGGGAGGCAGCAGUGGGGAAUUUUGGACAAUGGGCGAAAGCCUGAUCCAGCAAUGCCGCGUGUGUG
This 402-nucleotide ribosomal RNA is filed under the name uncultured microorganism. RNAcentral describes it as "bacterial SSU rRNA". It matches the Rfam family "Bacterial small subunit ribosomal RNA", at positions 9 to 407 of the family's 1533-position model. The record is from RNAcentral.